AGCCAACACUCUCCGGUCACAGCAAGUGUCACAGACCCUUGGGGGCCAGACAUGUUCAACCAGACGAUCGGGCGGGGUGAUGGGCUUUUGGGGUGGGUCCUAUGUAUGUGAAGGAGAGUGAACGAAUCAUUUGCCAAAGUGAUUCGUUCUUUUUUCCGUCCAUAUGACUUUAACCAGUAGAUGUCGGUAAUGCGCAAUGAAGCUGGUGUAACCUCGCCGUAAAACAAAACGAAGAAGAAAUGACGUCUUUUCCCGUUUACGAACGUGUCGUGAAUUGCAUUUCCCGUGCACCAACGAACGGAUCUGUGAGUGAACGAGUGAUGAGCAGCAGCGGUGCCGCGCUCGAUUUGCAUUUCCAGUUCAUCGCGAGAACGGAGCAGUGAGGGACGGAAUCCUGACUUUCCCGUUCGCAAACGAGUCAAUGGAUGAUCUGCCUUCCUUGCGUGCAUCAACGGAUCAGUCAGUGGAGAUGUUGCGUCUUCCUCCUGGUGUGAACUACCAAGGGAACCACUCACUGAAACACCACUUCUUUUAUGCACGUUUUCUCCAAGCUAGCGGCUAACUUUAUCGCAUGAAGGGAUGCGCCGUUAUGCAUAAGCGGGGAGAUUAUGCUUCUCUUUGGGUAAUGUUGAUUUUAUAAGUUAAAAUGAGCGUGAGCAGCAGCGGAGCCCCAUUUCAACAUGUGACAAAAUGUGUAGGUACACCUUACGGACACUUCAAUAGGUACACUACACGAGGUAAAGUAAAAAAAGAAUAAAGUUUUAAUUGCACAAUAAAAGCAUACUGUUUCGACAUGACAAACUAUGGUCGAAUGCAAUGGUUUGUUGUAAUGGUGUGCAUCGCGGGCCAAUAGGGGAAAAGCUUGAGUGAAAAGUGUCACACCCACCCUUACCCCCACCUCCUGAUUGGCUGUUUGAGCUGUGGCGUCACUUGGACACUCCACUGCCCGCCUCCUACCUCCAAAUUCGUCUGACCAAUCAGAGCGCAGCUGAAAUGAGCCUGACCACGUCCACUUUUCCAACAGCCAAUCGGAAGGCGGUUUUAAAUUGACGACCACGCCUACUUCACAUCCCACCAAUCACAGGACCCCUCGUCUGCAUCACCACGCCCCCUUUUCAACCAAUCGGAUUUCAUUCUCAUUGCCCCGCCCACUUUAUGAAAUAAUAAAUGAAAACUUUUUGUAUUUACCGUUUUUUUUCAUGUAUAAUGCGCAAAAUUUAACUAAUUUAUUGUCCUAAAAUUUGGGGUGCGCAUUAUACAUGGGUAUAAAAAAAAAAGUUUUUUUUUUUUUUUUUUUUUUAAUCCGGAUAAAAAAAAAUAAUAAAAUGAUACGGAGGCCGCCAUUACAGAUGCGCUUUCUUCUCUGCUGUUCACUUCAAACACGCUCCAUACGAACACAAUACUCGUAUCAGACGCUUGCUCGAUCAGCUGCUCGUUUUGGGAGCUUAAGACCAGGGGAUGCUUUGAGAAUAAUUGUCAAUUUCUGUCUAUGUGAAGCCCUUUGAAACUGCUUGUGAUUUAAGGCUAUGCAAAUAAACUUGACUUGACUUGA
Long non-coding RNA from Syngnathus typhle (broad-nosed pipefish), 1552 nucleotides. RefSeq lists it as uncharacterized. The record is from RefSeq and is a predicted model, not a curated record. The transcript has 2 exons. Lineage: Eukaryota; Metazoa; Chordata; Actinopteri; Syngnathiformes; Syngnathidae.